UACGUAGGGGGCAAGCGUUGUCCGGAAUCACUGGGCGUAAAGCGUGCGUAGGCGGUUUUUUGGGUCUGGGGUGAAAGUUCAGGGCUCAACCUUGAGAAUGCCUUGGAAACUAGAAGACUUGAGUACUGGAGAGGCAAGGGGAAUUCCACGUGUAGCGGUGAAAUGCGUAGAGAUGUGGAGGAAUACCAGUGGCGAAGGCGCCUUGCUGGACAGUGACUGACGCUGAGGCACGAAAGCGUGGGGAGCAAACAGGAUUAGAUACCCUGGUAGUCCACGCCGUAAACGAUGAGUGCUAGGUGUUGGGGGGUCAUACUCUCAGUGCCGAAGGAAACCCAAUAAGCACUCCGCCUGGGGAGUACGGUCGCAAGACUGAAACUCAAAGGAAUUGACGGGGGCCCGCACAAGCAGUGGAGCAUGUGGUUUAAUUCGAAGCAACGCGAAGAACCUUACCAGGGCUUGACAUCCCUCUGACCGGUUCAGAGAUGGACCUUCCCUUCGGGGCAGAGGAGACAGGUGGUGCAUGGUUGUCGUCAGCUCGUGUCGUGAGAUGUUGGGUUAAGUCCCGCAACGAGCGCAACCCUUGAUCUGUGUUACCAGCACGUGAUGGUGGGGACUCACAGGUGACUGCCGGCGUAAGUCGGAGGAGGGUGGGGAUGACGUCAAAUCAUCAUGCCCUUUAUGUCCUGGGCGACACACGUGCUACAAUGGGCGGUACAACGGGAAGCGAGACCGCGAGGUGGAGCGAAACCCAAAAGCCGUUCGUAGUUCGGAUUGCAGGCUGCAACCCGCCUGCAUGAAGCCGGAAUUGCUAGUAAUCGCGGAUCAGCAUGCCGCGGUGAAUCCGUUCCCGGGCCU
This 855-nucleotide ribosomal RNA is filed under the name uncultured bacterium. Its description in RNAcentral is "bacterial SSU rRNA". It matches the Rfam family "Bacterial small subunit ribosomal RNA", at positions 524 to 1381 of the family's 1533-position model. The record is from RNAcentral.